RNAcentral lists this non-coding RNA (23 nucleotides) under Mus musculus (house mouse). Lineage: Eukaryota; Metazoa; Chordata; Mammalia; Rodentia; Muridae. The record is from RNAcentral.
UAGCAGGAUGUUUUUGGAUUCAG